UACGUAGGUGGCAAGCGUUGUCCGGAUUUACUGGGCGUAAAGAGCGCGCAGGCGGUCGUUCAAGUCGCGUGUGAAAGCCCCCGGCUCAACUGGGGAGGGUCACGCGAUACUGAUCGACUCGAAGGCAGGAGAGGGAAGUGGAAUUCCCGGUGUAGUGGUGAAAUGCGUAGAUAUCUGGAGGAACACCGGUGGCGAAGGCGGCGUCCUGGACCAACACUGACACUGAGGAGCGAAAGCCAGGGGAGCAAACGGG
RNAcentral lists this ribosomal RNA (253 nucleotides) under uncultured bacterium. RNAcentral describes it as "partial 16S ribosomal RNA". It matches the Rfam family "Bacterial small subunit ribosomal RNA", at positions 524 to 776 of the family's 1533-position model. The record is from RNAcentral.